Molecule: long non-coding RNA, 1148 nt
Organism: Cavia porcellus (domestic guinea pig)
Lineage: Eukaryota; Metazoa; Chordata; Mammalia; Rodentia; Caviidae
Exons: 5
Source: RefSeq, a predicted model, not a curated record
CUGCUUUGCUGACCUCCUGCCUUCUGCCUGCCGUGAACUGUGAUGCCCCUCUGCCAUGCCACCUGCCUUGGAGCCAGCCAGCUAUGGACUGAAACCUGCACAAACUGGUCAUCUUCAGCUCCAGGGCUCCAGGGAUUCUGCCAACUCAUCUGUCCAUGCAGCUGGGACUGUAGGUACCAUCAAGCACCCAGAUGAGCCUCGGUGUGGGGACCUAUGGCCAGACUCAAGGCACUUGAGGAAGAUGGUGGACUGCCUCCUUCACGCCUACCCUACUGAGUGAUCGGAGCAGCCAGCAGGGUCCUGAGAGGAGAUGACAGGAGAUUUAAGGAAAGUUAAAAGAUCAUACUGUUUUAACUCAGGGUUUCCCUUCAGGAAGGACCACACCAGCCCUCAGGUAUUGCAAACAUUUAUUCUUCUGUCCUAGGAAAUUGCUCUGUGGUGACAAACAUGGGUCAUCUUCCAGGUCAUAGGUGGUGGCUUUGUCUCAGCACUUCUGAUGCUGCAUUUCUGAGUGGCUAGAAUAUCUCGUCUUCUGUCAUCACUGAUAAAAUUUUUACUCUUCUAGUUCACCCACCCCAGCCUGCCUCACGAGGUCUGCGAUGCUUUUCUACAGAUGAUCAAUGCAACUACUCAUCAUCAAUUCUUGCAAUGAUCUGGUCAGAUAUAGUUUGAAAUGUAUCCUGCAUCUGCUGCAAGAGGGUCUGCACUCUGGCCCUGAAUCAAGGCUGGCAGCUUUCUGACGCUGUUGGUUUCAAGCAGGAGCCUAAAGAGAUGUCUUUCUAUGGUCUGUUGGCCAUUUCAGAACUUGGGCAGUGAAAUGGUCAAUUCACUAGAAAGAAACAGCUUGAAGCACCCCCCCCCCCACAACCCAGGGUGAGCGGCUGUGAGCGUGGCAGAAUGUGGCAGCCCAGGACAGGAGCCACCAGACCUAGAGCACCAGGAAACCAGGCAACUCCUCCCCACCUGUUUGUUUUGUCGAACUUCAUUAUACAUGAAAGCAUGGACAGCUAUUUUGAAGAGAACAAGAGACUCUACUGACAGCCGUUAGUGACUUCCCUAUUGUCUGGUUUUGAAGAUGUAAAAUGCCUUCCUCAUUCUGUUCGGAUCAGUUUUAGACUAUGUUGUUUUGUAUGAAUUCUCUGUAUGUG